GAUUAACGCUGGCGGCGUGCCUAACACAUGCAAGUCGAGCGGCAGCGAGUUUUACACUGAAUUCUGGAAGCUUCUAGUUGAAAGAGAAGAUUUAUUCAAGAAUUUUGUGUAAAAUGUCGGCGAGCGGCGGACGGCUGAGUAACGCGUAGGAACGUACCCCAAAGUGAGGGAUAACGCAUCGAAAGGUGUGCUAAUACCGCAUAUGGUCUUCGGAUUAAAGCCUUCGGGCGCUUUGGGAACGGCCUGCGUAAGAUUAGAUAGUUGGUGGGGUAAUGGCCUACCAAGUCGACGAUCUUUAACUGGUUUGAGAGGAUGAUCAGUCAGACUGGAACUGAGACACGGUCCAGACUCCUACGGGAGGCAGCAGUGAGGAAUCUUCCACAAUGGGCGAAAGCCUGAUGGAGCGACGCCGCGUGCAGGAUGAAGGCCUUCGGGUUGUAAACUGCUUUUAUAAGUGAGGAUUAUGACAGUAACUUAUGAAUAAGGAUCGGCUAACUACGUG
RNAcentral lists this ribosomal RNA (502 nucleotides) under uncultured bacterium. RNAcentral describes it as "partial 16S ribosomal RNA". It matches the Rfam family "Bacterial small subunit ribosomal RNA", at positions 28 to 507 of the family's 1533-position model. The record is from RNAcentral.